Molecule: transfer-messenger RNA, 354 nt
Filed under: Eubacteriales
Lineage: Bacteria; Bacillati; Bacillota; Clostridia
Also listed under: 1 other name
Description: DTU064 sp021202555 Standard tmRNA
Rfam family: transfer-messenger RNA
About the family: Bacterial tmRNA, also known as 10Sa RNA or SsrA, is named for its dual tRNA and mRNA-like properties. Its role is to liberate the mRNA from a stalled ribosome.
Source: RNAcentral
GGGGGCGUAAAGGUUUCGACGGGGAUUUUGAUAGGUGAUAAGCGGGCAGAGCAUGGGGCAAGCUCUUAAAUACGGCUCCAAUUAAAACUUUAACUGCUAACGACGAAGAAUUAGCACUCGCUGCCUAAGUGCGGCGCGUCCUUUAUGAGGGGGACCACGACCUCAUAUCGGGCGUCACGACUGUGGUGAACGUGAACCGCCGUUUCGCGCUUGAAGCGGUCACGCAUUAAAGCGCUUUCCCCGAGGUGUUUUGGGCAUCGUGUGCCUCGGCGGGAGAUUUUCGGUGCCAUGCGCCCGGAGAAAUUCACAGGGAGAGAUUUUCGGACAGGGGUUCGAUUCCCCUCGCCUCCACCA